AUACGUAGGGGGCAAGCGUUGUCCGGAUUUAUUGGGCGUAAAGGGCGUGUAGGCGGCUUGUCAAGUCAGGGGUGAAAGCCCGGGGCUCAACCCCGGGCCGGCCUGUGAAACUGGUAGGCUUGAGUGCUCUAGAGGGCAGUGGAAUUCCCGGUGUAGCAGUGAAAUGCGUAGAGAUCGGGAGGAACACCAGUGGCGAAGGCGGCUGCCUGGGGAGCAACUGACGCUGAGGCGCGAAAGCUGGGGGAGCAAACGGGAUUAGAUACCCCGGUAGUCCCAGCCGUAAACGAUGAGUGCUAGGUGUGAGGGGUAUCGACCCCCCUCGUGCCGGAGUUAACGCAAUAAGCACUCCGCCUGGGGAGUACGGCCGCAAGGUUGAA
Molecule: ribosomal RNA, 377 nt
Filed under: uncultured bacterium
Lineage: Bacteria
Description: bacterial SSU rRNA
Rfam family: Bacterial small subunit ribosomal RNA
Source: RNAcentral